Molecule: ribosomal RNA, 504 nt
Filed under: uncultured microorganism
Description: bacterial SSU rRNA
Rfam family: Bacterial small subunit ribosomal RNA
Source: RNAcentral
GAGUUUGAUCUUGGCUCAGGAUGAACGCUGGCGGCGUGCCUAAUACAUGCAAGUCGAGCGAACGGACGAGAAGCUUGCUUCUCUGAUGUUAGCGGCGGACGGGUGAGUAACACGUGGAUAACCUACCUAUAAGACUGGGAUAACUUCGGGAAACCGGAGCUAAAUACCGGAUAAUAUUUUGAACCGCAUGGUUCAAAAGUGAAAGACGGUCUUGCUGUCACUUAUAGAUGGAUCCGCGCUGCAUUAGCUAGUUGGUAAGGUAACGGCUUACCAAGGCAACGAUGCAUAGCCGACCUGAGAGGGUGAUCGGCCACACCUGGAACUGAGACACGGUCCAGACUCCUACGGGAGGCAGCAGUAGGGAAUCUUCCGCAAUGGGCGAAAGCCUGACGGAGCAACGCCGCGUCGAGUGAUGAAGGUCUUCGGAUCGUAAAACUCUGUUAUUAGGGAAGAACAUAUGUGUAAGUAACUGUGCACAUCUUGACGGUACCUAAUCAGAAAGCC